CCUACGGGAGGCAGCAGUGAGGAAUAUUGGUCAAUGGACGAGAGUCUGAACCAGCCAAGUAGCGUGAAGGAUGACUGCCCUAUGGGUUGUAAACUUCUUUUAUAUGGGAAUAAAAUGUUCCACGUGUGGGCUUUUGUAUGUACCUUAUGAAUAAGGAUCGGCUAACUCCGUGCCAGCAGCCGCGGUAAUACGGAGGAUCCGAGCGUUAUCCGGAUUUAUUGGGUUUAAAGGGAGCGUAGGUGGAUUGUUAAGUCAGUUGUGAAAGUUUGCGGCUCAACCGUAAAAUUGCAGUUGAAACUGGCAGUCUUGAGUACAGUAGAGGUGGGCGGAAUUCGUGGUGUAGCGGUGAAAUGCUUAGAUAUCACGAAGAACUCCGAUUGCGAAGGCAGCUUACUGGACUGCAACUGACACUGAGGCUCGAAAGUGUGGGUAUCAAACAGGAUUAGAUACCCUGGUAGUC
This 460-nucleotide ribosomal RNA is filed under the name uncultured bacterium. RNAcentral describes it as "partial 16S ribosomal RNA". It matches the Rfam family "Bacterial small subunit ribosomal RNA", at positions 338 to 795 of the family's 1533-position model. The record is from RNAcentral.